Molecule: ribosomal RNA, 429 nt
Filed under: Acidobacteriota bacterium
Lineage: Bacteria; Pseudomonadati; Acidobacteriota
Description: Acidobacteria bacterium partial 16S ribosomal RNA
Rfam family: Bacterial small subunit ribosomal RNA
Source: RNAcentral
UGGGGAAUUUUGGACAAUGGGGGAAACCCUGAUCCAGCCAUCCCGCGUGUGCGAUGAAGGCCUUCGGGUUGUAAAGCACUUUUAGCAGGAAAGAAACGUCAUGGGUUAAUACCCCGUGAAACUGACGGUACCUGCAGAAUAAGCACCGGCUAACUACGUGCCCGCAGCCGCGGUAAUACGUAGGGUGCAAGCGUUAAUCGGAAUUACUGGGCGUAAAGCGUGCGCAGGCGGUUCGGAAAGAAAGAUGUGAAAUCCCAGAGCUCAACUUUGGAACUGCAUUUUUAACUACCGGGCUAGAGUGUGUCAGAGGGAGGUGGAAUUCCGCGUGUAGCAGUGAAAUGCGUAGAUAUGCGGUGGAACACCGAUGGCGAAGGCAGCCUCCUGUGAUAACACUGACGCUCAUGCACGAAAGCGUGGGGAGCAAACAGG